Molecule: long non-coding RNA, 403 nt
Filed under: Fukomys damarensis (Damara mole-rat)
Lineage: Eukaryota; Metazoa; Chordata; Mammalia; Rodentia; Bathyergidae
Description: lncRNA (ENSFDAG00000024985.1)
Source: RNAcentral
GGAACUGGUUUGGUUCUCAGCAUCCUGCUGGGGGAAAGAGGCUCUAGGGCGCCUCCUCCGCGGUGGGGCGGGCUGGGCAGGCCUCGGGCGCCCGAUCUUUGAGCUCCGGGGCGCUCGCUCCACCCACCUCCUUCGCCUUCCCUCUUAUCUCUUCAGGAAUCUCCCUGCACUUUGUCCCGGAGCUGCGCCGUCCCGCGCCUAGCAAUCGGUGGAACGACCUGGCUGCAGCAGAGCUUCUGGAAUCCACGUGGAUGCAAGAGCUCAUUUCAUUCAUCGUGAUCCAAAAGGAGGACGGACUCUCCAAAGGCAGACAGGGCCCACCUGCCUGGUCUAGGCAGAUGGGUAGGGCUCCUGCUUCUCCACACAUUUUGAAGGAUAAUUAAAUGUCGGGGCUACCUCGCAC